RNAcentral lists this ribosomal RNA (430 nucleotides) under uncultured Actinomycetes bacterium. RNAcentral's name for it is "bacterial SSU rRNA". It matches the Rfam family "Bacterial small subunit ribosomal RNA", at positions 1072 to 1499 of the family's 1533-position model. The record is from RNAcentral. Lineage: Bacteria; Bacillati; Actinomycetota; Actinomycetes.
AUGUGUGGGGUAAGUCCGGUAGGGAGCGCAACCGUUAUCCUGUUUGCCAGCAAGUAAAGUUGGGGACUCGCAGGAGACUGCCGGGGUCAACUCGGAGGAAGCUGGGGACGACGUCAAGUCAUCAUGCCCCUUAUGCCCAGGGCUGCAAACACGCUACAAUGGCCGGUACAGAGGGCUGCGAUCCCGUGAGGGUGAGCGAAUCCCACAAAGCCGGUCUCAGUUCGGAUUGGAGUCUGCAACUCGACUCCAUGAAGCCGGAGUUGCUAGUAAUCCCGGAUCAGCACGCCGGGGUGAAUACGUUCCCGGGCCUUGUACACACCGCCCGUCACACCACGAAAGUCGGCAACACCCGAAGCCGGUGGCCCAACCCGCAAGGGAGGGAGCCGUCGAAGGUGGGGUCGGUGAUUGGGGUGAAGUCGUAACAAGGUAA